RNAcentral lists this ribosomal RNA (321 nucleotides) under Salmonella enterica subsp. enterica serovar Molade. RNAcentral describes it as "bacterial SSU rRNA". It matches the Rfam family "Bacterial small subunit ribosomal RNA", at positions 110 to 434 of the family's 1533-position model. Lineage: Bacteria; Pseudomonadati; Pseudomonadota; Gammaproteobacteria; Enterobacterales; Enterobacteriaceae. The record is from RNAcentral.
GUAAUGUCUGGGAAACUGCCUGAUGGAGGGGGAUAACUACUGGAAACGGUGGCUAAUACCGCAUAACGUCGCAAGACCAAAGAGGGGGACCUUCGGGCCUCUUGCCAUCAGAUGUGCCCAGAUGGGAUUAGCUUGUUGGUGAGGUAACGGCUCACCAAGGCGACGAUCCCUAGCUGGUCUGAGAGGAUGACCAGCCACACUGGAACUGAGACACGGUCCAGACUCCUACGGGAGGCAGCAGUGGGGAAUAUUGCACAAUGGGCGCAAGCCUGAUGCAGCCAUGCCGCGUGUAUGAAGAAGGCCUUCGGGUUGUAAAGUACU